GUUCAAGUAGCUUAACACUAAAGCGCCAGCCUUGUAAGCUGGAGAUAGAGAUUCAACCUCUCUUUAACU
This 69-nucleotide transfer RNA is filed under the name Oscaecilia ochrocephala. Its description in RNAcentral is "tRNA-Thr". It matches the Rfam family "tRNA". From Rfam's summary of the family: Transfer RNA (tRNA) molecules are approximately 80 nucleotides in length. Their secondary structure includes four short double-helical elements and three loops (D, anti-codon, and T loops). Further hydrogen bonds mediate the characteristic L-shaped molecular structure. tRNAs have two regions of fundamental functional importance: the anti-codon, which is responsible for specific mRNA codon recognition, and the 3' end, to which the tRNAs corresponding amino acid is attached (by aminoacyl-tRNA synthetases). tRNAs cope with the degeneracy of the genetic code in two manners: having more than one tRNA (with a specific anti-codon) for a particular amino acid; and 'wobble' base-pairing, i.e. permitting non-standard base-pairing at the 3rd anti-codon position. Lineage: Eukaryota; Metazoa; Chordata; Amphibia; Gymnophiona; Caeciliidae. The record is from RNAcentral.